RNAcentral lists this ribosomal RNA (497 nucleotides) under uncultured bacterium. RNAcentral's name for it is "partial 16S ribosomal RNA". It matches the Rfam family "Bacterial small subunit ribosomal RNA", at positions 28 to 507 of the family's 1533-position model. The record is from RNAcentral.
GAUGAACGCUGGCGGCGUGCCUAAUACAUGCAAGUCGAGCGAACGGACGAGAAGCUUGCUUCUCUGAUGUUAGCGGCGGACGGGUGAGUAACACGUGGAUAACCUACCUAUAAGACUGGGAUAACUUCGGGAAACAGGAGCUAAUACCGGAUGAUAUUUUGAACCGCAUGGUUCAAAAGUGAAAGACGGUCUUGCUGUCACUUAUAGAUGGAUCCGCGCUGCAUUAGCUAGUUGGUAAGGUAACGGCUUACCAAGGCAACGAUGCAUAGCCGACCUGAGAGGGUGGACGGCCACACGGGAACUGAGACACGGUCCAGACUCCUACGGUAGGCAGCAGUAGGGAAUCUUCCGCAAUGGGCGAAAGCCUGACGGAGCAACGCCGCGGGAGUGAUGAAGGUCUUCGGAUCGUAAAGCGCUGUUAUUAGGGAAGAACAAAUGUGUAAGUAACUGUGCACAUCUUGACGGUACCGAAUCAGAAAGCCACGGCUAACUACGUG